RNAcentral lists this small RNA (79 nucleotides) under Algibacter luteus. Its description in RNAcentral is "Arenitalea lutea Flavo-1 RNA". It matches the Rfam family "Flavo-1 RNA". Lineage: Bacteria; Pseudomonadati; Bacteroidota; Flavobacteriia; Flavobacteriales; Flavobacteriaceae. The record is from Rfam by way of RNAcentral.
AUUUAGCCCGCGUUAGCGAUUGAAACGACAUCCUUUUUUGAGGGACGAGAAAAAGAUAUAGUAUAAAGCGCGACCCUUG